This 75-nucleotide transfer RNA is filed under the name Candidatus Altimarinota bacterium. RNAcentral's name for it is "Candidatus Gracilibacteria bacterium tRNA-Met". It matches the Rfam family "tRNA". Rfam says of the family: Transfer RNA (tRNA) molecules are approximately 80 nucleotides in length. Their secondary structure includes four short double-helical elements and three loops (D, anti-codon, and T loops). RNAcentral also lists the same sequence under 1 other name. The record is from RNAcentral. Lineage: Bacteria; Candidatus Altimarinota.
CGCGGAGUAGAGCAGUGGUAGCUCGCAAGGCUCAUAACCUUGAGGUCGUGUGUUCGAUUCACACCUCCGCAACCA